AGUGAACGCUGGCGGUAGGCCUAACACAUGCAAGUCGAACGGCAGCACAGUAAGAGCUUGCUCUUACGGGUGGCGAGUGGCGGACGGGUGAGGAAUACAUUGGAAUCUACUUUUUCGUGGGGGAUAACGUAGGGAAACUUACGCUAAUACCGCAUACGACCUACGGGUGAAAGCAGGGGAUCUUCGGACCUUGCGCGAUUGAAUGAGCCGAUGUCGGAUUAGCUAGUUGGCGGGGUAAAGGCCCACCAAGGCGACGAUCCGUAGCUGGUCUGAGAGGAUGAGCGGCCACACUGGAACUGAGACACGGUCCAGACUCCUACGGGAGGCAGCAGUAGGGAAUGUUGAGCAAUGGGCGAAAGCCUGACGGAGCAAUGCCGCGUGAGUGAAGAAGGUCUUCGGAUCGUAAAGCGCUGUUAUUAGGGAAGAACAAAUGGGUAAGUAACUAUGCACGUCUUGACGGUACCUAAUCAGAAAGAAACGGCUAACUACGUG
Molecule: ribosomal RNA, 492 nt
Filed under: uncultured bacterium
Lineage: Bacteria
Description: partial 16S ribosomal RNA
Rfam family: Bacterial small subunit ribosomal RNA
Source: RNAcentral